Molecule: non-coding RNA, 294 nt
Filed under: Acyrthosiphon pisum (pea aphid)
Lineage: Eukaryota; Metazoa; Arthropoda; Insecta; Hemiptera; Aphididae
Description: Eukaryotic small subunit ribosomal RNA
Rfam family: Eukaryotic small subunit ribosomal RNA
Source: Rfam by way of RNAcentral
UGAACCUCCUUCGUGCUUAGGGAUCGUGGCUUGCAAUUUUUCCACGUGAACGAGGAAUUCCCAGUAAGCGCGAGUCAUCAGCUCGCGUUGAUUACGUCCCUGCCCUUUGUACACACCGCCCGUCGCUACUACCGAUUGAACGGUCGCAUUGAGGUCUUCGGAGUGGACGCGCGUUAUUCGGCCCCCUCGGGGGCUGGGUCGUCGCGCGAUCGCGAAGAUGACCGAAAUCGGCCGUUUAGAGGAAGUAAAAGUCGUAACAAGGUUUCCGUAGGUGAACCUGCGGAAGGAUCAUUA